RNAcentral lists this long non-coding RNA (227 nucleotides) under Nicotiana benthamiana. RNAcentral's name for it is "long non-coding RNA (NBEN_LNC038555)". Lineage: Eukaryota; Viridiplantae; Streptophyta; Magnoliopsida; Solanales; Solanaceae. The record is from RNAcentral.
CAAUAGCACGGCGAGAUUGACGCCGGAAAUGGCCAGAAAACGUAGAAAUGUUGCUCCGACUGCUACCGUUGUUCCUCCUAAGCUAGUUACACCUGCUCAUGGCAUUACAACUACUCUCGAACCCCUAACAUUUGGUAACUUCCUUCCACAGAAGUACCAAUCGAAGGAAAAUUCACAUGCAGAGAUUGAAGAAGCAGUUAAGGCUCGAUCGAAGGGAAAUGAUGAGA